RNAcentral lists this ribosomal RNA (497 nucleotides) under uncultured bacterium. RNAcentral describes it as "partial 16S ribosomal RNA". It matches the Rfam family "Bacterial small subunit ribosomal RNA", at positions 28 to 507 of the family's 1533-position model. The record is from RNAcentral.
GAUGAACGCUGGCGGCGUGCCUAAUACAUGCAAGUCGAGCGAACAGACGAGGAGCUUGCUCCUCUGACGUUAGCGGCGGACGGGUGAGUAAAACGUGGAUAACCUACCUAUAAUACUGGGAUAACUUCGGGAAACCGGAGCUAAUACCGGAUAAUAUAUUGAACCGCAUGGUUCAAUAGUUAAAGACGGUUUUGCUGUCACUUAUAGAUGGAUCCGCGCCGCAUUAGCUAGUUGGUAAGGUAACGGCUUACCAAGGCAACGAUGCGUAGCCGACCUGAGAGGGUGAUCGGCCACACUGGAACUGAGACACGGUCCAGACUCCUACGGGAGGCAGCAGUAGGGAAUCUUCCGCAAUGGGCGAAAGCCUGACGGAGCACCGCCGCGUGAGUGAUGAAGGUCUUCGGAUCGUAAAACUCUGUUAUUAGGGAAGAACAAAUGUGUAAGUAACUAUGCACGUCUUGACGGUACCUAAUAAGAAAGCCACGGCUAACUACGUG